Capra hircus (goat) is the source of this 696-nucleotide long non-coding RNA. RefSeq lists it as uncharacterized. The transcript has 3 exons. NCBI's taxonomy places the organism in Eukaryota, Metazoa, Chordata, Mammalia, Artiodactyla, Bovidae. The record is from RefSeq and is a predicted model, not a curated record.
UCUCCAAUCAUGUGAUGCUUGGACUAAAAAUAACACGUGCAUUUUUCAGUUCUGAACUCAGUAAAUGGCACAACGUGAGUCGAGUUUGAGAAAAACAGAGCCUAGUACAGAGGAUGAAUGAAGAAACCAACUCAUCCUGGUCAUUCAGGAAUGUGAAAAUUUCCCCCGUGGCUCCCAGGUCCACAGACUGAGGCUUCCUUGCACAGCCGAGGGCAUGAGGAUCCUGGGGUUAAUACACCAGCCAGAAUAAGCCUGUGGGAUUUAAGCCUGAAGCUUCUAUGAGGAGGUAAGCUGCCUUCAAAGAUCUUAGCCCUUUUGGUAUCUUUUACUUUUUUCCAGCAGAGAACUCAUACUUGGUACUGCUACAAAUUCAUAUUUGUUAGUUUGACACAAUGUGUCCUGAAUUCAUCUAAGGAAACUGUCCUUUAAUGUUAAUACUCUUUCCCUUUUUAGCGCAUUCAUCAUCCAUUGUAACAUCUCAGUCUCAACAAAGUCGACUCAUUUUCUAGGGAAAUUUUCUCUUUGAUGGCCACUGUUGACGAUGGAUUAAUCCACUCACAUGAUCUGUGCUGGACUUUCCCCCGGUGGCUCAGGUGGCAAAGAAUCUGCCUACUGUGGGUGGCGGGGAGUGGGUAGGCUGUGCAGGGGGACCCUGGUUUGAUCCCUGGGUUGGGAAGAUCUCUUGGAGAAGGGAGU